This 81-nucleotide transfer RNA is filed under the name Trichonephila clavipes. It matches the Rfam family "tRNA". Rfam says of the family: Transfer RNA (tRNA) molecules are approximately 80 nucleotides in length. Their secondary structure includes four short double-helical elements and three loops (D, anti-codon, and T loops). The record is from Rfam by way of RNAcentral. Lineage: Eukaryota; Metazoa; Arthropoda; Arachnida; Araneae; Nephilidae.
GGUAGCGUGGCCGAGCGGUCUAAGGCGCUGGUUUGAGGCACCAGUCUCUCCGGAGGCGUGGGUUUAAUCCCACCGCUGCCA